This 269-nucleotide unclassified non-coding RNA is filed under the name fungal sp. RNAcentral's name for it is "partial internal transcribed spacer region". The stretch from base 1 to 46 matches the Rfam family "Eukaryotic small subunit ribosomal RNA", at positions 1786 to 1831 of the family's 1831-position model. Lineage: Eukaryota; Fungi. The record is from RNAcentral.
AAGUCGUAACAAGGUCUCCGUUGGUGAACCAGCGGAGGGAUCAUUAACAAAUCAUGAUGUGGUGUUGUGUAACAGCACACCACAAAUUAACCCGAACCUGUGCCUUUUGGCCAGGCUAGGUGUGGGUAUUGUCAUAUUGGCUCGUUCAAUAUUAUAAUACUCGCGGUGAAGACGAAAGUCGGAUCCACAUAGACGCUUGUUUUUGUUUGACAGAUUUCAAUUGUAUCCAAAAUUAAUGACAACUUUUAACAAUGGAUCUCUUGGCUCUU